Molecule: long non-coding RNA, 4977 nt
Filed under: Sus scrofa (pig)
Lineage: Eukaryota; Metazoa; Chordata; Mammalia; Artiodactyla; Suidae
Description: lncRNA (ENSSSCG00000056399.1)
Source: RNAcentral
GUCUUUCACAGGCAUGUUGGGAGGAUUAGCAAGCACAUGCAAACUUCCUUAGCUCUUUGAAACAGAGGUGCUUUAAGAAAUCCAAAGCAGGCACCUUGUGUGCAAGACAUUGGCUGCCUUUAUGUUUAAACCUCCACUUUUUGAAGUUAAAAAUGGUAUUCUUUGGCUAGAACACAGAGCACAAUUAAUCAGCAGGAUCUCAGUCAAAAAUAUAAUUUUCAUGGAUUCCAGGAAUGCCCAGAAGCUCCUGGCCAGUAUGGAACUAGCGUAACAGGAAGAUGGAAUGCUGGGUAUUCUGGAUGGCUGUUCUAGGAACUCAGGGUCCUUUCUAAUACCGUCACUGACCAGCUGUGUCAGCCUUGACAAGAGGCUUCCCCUCCUUCAGCUUCCUCACUUGCAGAAAUAGUGUGCUUUCUGACUGCCUCACAAGAUUGUAGAUGGAAUGAAUAUAAGGAAUGCAUAAAAAUAUUUAGAAUGAUACAAACUAUUAUUUGUGCAAAACAUGUGCUAUUGGUGACUUUUGAAAAUGGGUUGAGAGUCCCAAAUUUUCCCUUUGGACUAGCUGCAAUUGCAUUAAAACAUUGCAAUACAGAUUAUUUAAAGAGUAGAAAGCCUUGUUCUCCUCAUUGUCUCUUAAUUAGUUUUUCUGUCAUUAAAUUUUGAUUGUGUUUCUGGUUGAGUAUAGAGGCACUUACAAGACAGCUAUUUCUCUCAGUGCUUUGUUCCUGAAAAGUGCCCUCAGAUGGAAGAUGCAUUUCACUCUUGUGGAAAAUGUGCAUGACUUUUGAUCCCAAGGUGUUUUCUGUCAUGAACCUUGUCCAGGAAUCUGUAGCUAAAAUAUACAGUAUGCUAGCUGCACAAAUGAUUUUCUUGGUGUUUCUGGACCCAUUUUACCAUUCUCACCUAUGACUAUAUUUCCCAGUGGUAUCAGAACUCAAUUAUGCUUUACUUGAUGCAUCCACUUUCCAAAUGCAAAUGAUUCUUUGUCAAAGCGGUGAAUGUACAAAUAACAAAAGAGAGAAGAUCCAUUUCAUUGAGAUCUGUUACUUUGGCAAAUACUUCAUUUAAAUUGGAUUGGUAAGAUGGAACUUCCAUGUUCUCUCCACGACUUGCAAGCCAUCCUUGGAAAGCAGACUUGAAGCAAAGUCACCUGGGGGUUGAUGGCCCAAGGUGUUUGGAAUUACCUUGGUGGUGGGGUGUAAGUCAUUUGUAUGGAUAGAAGAAAGGUAUUAGGCAAAGGAAGGAAGGGCGGAGGAAAUCACAAUGUGUUCCCUUAAUUCCACUAAGGUAAAAUCAGGUUAAAAUAAAUUCCUCUAUCCUGGAAGGGGAAAAAAAGACCAAAAAAGUGGGUUUUUUUUUUGUUUUGUUUUGUUUUGUUUUUGUUUGUUUUUUAAAGGCAAACAGGCAAUUGCAUGCAUUUCUCUUCCCUUCCUCCUUUAUACCCUGAGCCUCUAUUAUUCCAGUUUGUUAAAGAGGAGAUAUUAAUCCAAAACAUUGGGCCUACUUCCAUGUCAUGUCUCCAUGGGGUUUAGAAUCCUAACCUAUCCCUUGAAAGUAUGCAGAACCCAGGCUAGUGCCAUGUAUGGGGAGCUCAGUAGCCCAAAGAGGAGGGAGCAUGGGGUAGACAGGUAGACAAGGUAAGAGAUGAGACAAUAGGUGUGGAGAUGGCAUUUUGGAGGUGUCAGAUGAAGAGCUUCACUGUGAUGGUGGCAAAGAUAAAGAAGUCAGGUGGAGGACAUUGAUGCAGGAGGAUGAGCCUGAAGCUGGCCUGAACCAGUCAUUUCCUUAGUGGUCAAGCUCACUAACUUAGUGAGUAACUGAACUGUCAGGACCUCAGGCUCUACAUCUCCAAAAAAAAGGGGCAUGAUCUUCAGGAAAGUUGGAAAUAACAAGCGGAAGAGCAUGCGUAAAUGCAUGUUGUCCAAAUCAAAUGAUAUGCAAACAUGAAGGCCUUUUAGGGCUGAAUGUGAAGCUGGCACGACUAUGGAAGCAGGAGGGGCAGCCUGAAAGCAUCUUGGGUUGCAGCCAUGACUGCCCUCCCUCCAUCAGUCAGUGUCUGGGCUGAUCCUGCAUGGAGCCUCCCUUUAUUUAGGAAGGAGAGAGGGACAGUGUGCACCCAACAUGCAAAACACGGCUCAGGGGUAGAGCUUUUGAGAUCUCACCUCAGAACCUUAGCCUCGGGAGGCCAUCCAGCAGAGCACGCCACCAGUGAAGUGACUUGAGAAAGAGGCCGAAUUUAAAACGUCUUCACAAAGGAAUAAAAUAUUAUCAGCCCAGAGACAGAGUCUGUGAAGGCAUGGUUUAUUGUCUGCGGUUGGCUGGAUUUCAUAAAAUGAAGAAAAUCAAACCAGAGGCCUGUUUGUGGAGUUGGAGCGUGAUUGUAUUUUUAGUUUUCUUAACUAAAUAAAUCCAUCACUUGACAAAGAGGAGAGUGUAGUGGAUUAGACAGAGAAGGUAUGAUUGAAGACUUGAAGGCAGGGUCAGCUCCAGAUACAUUGAUCACAGUCUCAUUAGGCCUGGAACAGAAACAAAAAUGAAUUUGAAAUGUGGGGAGGGGAGGGGGACAAUAGAAGGGAGAACGAAGGGAAAUAUCAGUACGUUUUGUAACAGUGUGAUUCAUAACACACAGAUGAACUCAGACAUUGAGAUAAAAUUCAUUGGUUAAAUUCCUGACAGAUACUGAGCCAGGGUAAAACAUUUCUAUCACCUCAUCUCUCACUCUUUGUCUUUCUUGGUAAAUAAUUUUUCAGCACAGAAAAAGUGUUCUACUCCUGAUAAGUAUUUUUGAUGUUGUAAGGCUGCAAAAGUGUAUUCCGAGUGAAGUCCAAUAAAAUAGCAGUCCUAGCAGAGACAGACAAAAAUGAGCAUGGGACAGUUAUUGCUAUUGGUAGGUCAUUCCUCUGAUUUAGAUAUGUAAAAGCAUAUAUAAGUGGAGUUCUCUUUGUGGCUCGGUGGAUUAAGAACCUGAAACAGUGUCUGUGAGGAUGUGGGUUUGAUCCCUGGCCUCGCUCAGUGGAUUAAGGGUCUGGCAUUGCCGUAAGCUGUGGUGUAGGUCACAGAUGCCUCUUGGAUCUGGUGUUGCCGUGGCUGUGGCAUAGGCCUACAGCUGCAUCUCCAAUUUGACCGCUAGCCUGAGAACUUCCAUAUGCCAUAGGCAUGGCUAUAAAAAGAAAAUUAAAACAAAAACCAAAAAAACAUAUAUGAACAACAAAAGAGAUAGAUAAAAAAGUUGGUUGACUGUUUCAUUAAAUUGGAAGUGAAGCUCAUCACAAAAUUUUGUAUUAGGAGGGAGUGGAAUAAUUGGUGAAAUUAUUCCUAAGACUUAAAUUCAGUCUUCAGGGUCCUUCAUCAGCCAUCCCACUGUCCUGUCCCUCAUCGAGCUCCAUACCUCAUUAUGUUUCAUUUGAAAAACAUAAUUAUGUUCUUCAAACCAUUUUCCUCUUCUUGUCUGCUGCAUCCUUUCUUUUGCUCUUGCUGUUUCCUUUGCCUGCCUUCUCACUCUCUUUUGUUCUCUUGCCAUAACAGUCUGCAUGAGCUGGUGGAGAUCUUCCUUAGGGCUCCCUGAGUAAUCCAUCCUGGGGUUCAAGGGAGCCCAAAAAUAAAUAAACACUUCUCUUCCCCUGCUGUGUUCUGAAUCAGUUGAGAAAUAGAAAGAAAUAGAUAUAGGACAGAUGAAGCCUAACAUAUGAUCUUUAGCCUGAUAAGACUGGAGAAUGUGACAAGUGGAUUGGAUAAUCCAGAAUCCAGAAUUAGAAAGACAUUAACCACCAUCCCCCCACCUCCCACCACUUCAGGCAGAGCCAGAUCACUGCAGAGAUCCACCCUGUCAAACUUAGAGCAAGUUUAUGGUGUGCUCUCGCCACUGGCUGGCAGGCUCACUGACUAAAGUAGGAAGAAGGGACAGGGCUACACAGAAUCACUUCCUACCCCAGCUCAUCAGCUGACAGUGUGACUAGAGUAUGGCUAGAGGGGGUAAGAGGCCAGGGGGGUUUCACUGGUGCAGCUUCCCCUACAUGGAAACAUCAGGAGUAGGGAAAGUGUGAUUCUCUAGUAGCAACCCCCUUUAGAAAAAUUUUUACAGGGGCUUGUUCUAUUAAGUUGUAUAUUUAUAUAUUUUGAUUAUUUGGGUGUUCAGUCAGGGAAGCAGAGCCAUUAUGACUACUAGGGGAUGAGGAAUUUAUCACAGAUAUUAUACAUUGCACAGUUGUGGGAGCAACUGAGGUCUCAAAGGGAGAGUUGGGUGACCAGAGAAUCACCAAACAUUCAUCCUAAAGCACUGGGAUGGGUGAAGAGUAGGAGGAGAGCAGAGUAGCUGACCAUAUCCAGCUUCCAAAGUGAGACCUUGAAGGAGCAGAGCGUGGAGACCUUCUGGGAAGCUGUCACCCCUGAGUAGUCACUGCCUCUGCAGUCCUGUCACAAAGCAUUUAAUGGGGACCUGGGGUGGCUGUGGUCAGCAGUGCCACAGUCAGGGAGAGCAGGACCUGAGGAGGAGGAGGAAGGCAAGGACAAGCAGGGCCUCCCAGCACUUAUGGUCAGUCUGUCACCUUAUCAAAAUGUGAACAACUUGAGAGUAAUGGAACAUUUCUGUUUCAGCUUUUCCUUUGGCCAGUUCUAUCCUGGCGUCAUGGAGAAAGUAGAGGAUUUAGGAAAAGCAGUUCUCAGCUUAACCAAGUGGGUGGUAGAACAAUCCAGCAAGUCAACACUUGGACAGCAUGGCCUCUAUAUACUCCUCUUUUAGCCACAUUAAAUAUAAAGACGAGAUAAAUCUUACUUCUGUUAACACAAUACAAUUAAAAAUACUUUCACCAACCCCCUGAAAAGCAUAAUGGUCUCUUGUGUCAAUUUACUCAUCUUUGGGGGAUGUUCAUUCCUUUUCCAGUUCAAUCAUAUUCAGCCUCUGAUAUUCUGUAACUUAAAUGUUACAGAUAUAUAAUGUUAACCAUUAUGCAUACCCCUGGAGUUAGUUUGUAGGGGAAU